This 256-nucleotide ribosomal RNA is filed under the name uncultured bacterium. RNAcentral's name for it is "partial 16S ribosomal RNA". It matches the Rfam family "Bacterial small subunit ribosomal RNA", at positions 524 to 779 of the family's 1533-position model. The record is from RNAcentral.
UACGGGGGGGGCAAGCGUUGUUCGGAAUUACUGGGCGUAAAGGGCCAGUAGGCGGCCAACUAAGUCGGAUGUGAAAUCCCCAGGCUUAACCUGGGAACUGCAUCCGAUACUGGAUGGCUUGAAUUCGGGAGAGGGAUGCAGAAUUCCAGGUGUAGCGGUGAAAUGCGUAGAUAUCUGGAGGAAUACCGGUGGCGAAGGCGGCAUCCUGGACCGACAUUGACGCUGAACGGCGAAAGCUAGGGGAGCAAACGGGAGU